Molecule: ribosomal RNA, 251 nt
Filed under: uncultured bacterium
Lineage: Bacteria
Description: partial 16S ribosomal RNA
Rfam family: Bacterial small subunit ribosomal RNA
Source: RNAcentral
CGAACCGUGCGAACGUUGUUCGGAAUCACUGGGCUUAAAGGGCGCGUAGGCGGCUUGCCAAGUCAGGGGUGAAAUCCUGCAGCUUAACUGUAGAAGGGCCUUUGAUACUGGCGAGCUCGAGGGAGGUAGGGGUAUGUGGAACUUCCGGUGGAGCGGUGAAAUGCGUUGAUAUCGGAAGGAACGCCGGUGGCGAAAGCGACGUACUGGACCUCUUCUGACGCUGAGGCGCGAAAGCUAGGGGAGCAAACGGG